GACGAACGCUGCCGGCGUGCUUAACACAUGCAAGUCGAACGGAAAGGCCCUGCUUUUGUGGGGUGCUCGAGUGGCGAACGGGUGAGUAACACGUGAGUAACCUGCCCUUGACUUUGGGAUAACUUCAGGAAACUGGGGCUAAUACCGGAUAGGAGCUCCUGCUGCAUGGUGGGGGUUGGAAAGUUUCGGCGGUUGGGGAUGGACUCGCGGCUUAUCAGCUUGUUGGUGGGGUAGUGGCUUACCAAGGCUUUGACGGGUAGCCGGCCUGAGAGGGUGACCGGCCACAUUGGGACUGAGAUACGGCCCAGACUCCUACGGGAGGCAGCAGUGGGGAAUAUUGCACAAUGGGCGGAAGCCUGAUGCAGCAACGCCGCGUGCGGGAUAACGGCCUUCGGGUUGUAAACCGCUUUCGCCUGUGACGAAGCGUGAGUGACGGUAAUGGGUAAAGAAGCACCGGCUAGCUACGUG
RNAcentral lists this ribosomal RNA (468 nucleotides) under uncultured bacterium. Its description in RNAcentral is "partial 16S ribosomal RNA". It matches the Rfam family "Bacterial small subunit ribosomal RNA", at positions 28 to 507 of the family's 1533-position model. The record is from RNAcentral.